Molecule: unclassified non-coding RNA, 866 nt
Filed under: Hevea brasiliensis (rubber tree)
Lineage: Eukaryota; Viridiplantae; Streptophyta; Magnoliopsida; Malpighiales; Euphorbiaceae
Source: RNAcentral
AGGCAAGAUGCCCCGACUUUAAAAUUAAAAAGAAGAAAAAAAUACACAAAGGUUAAAAAUUCUUCUUUUGAGAUCUGUCUUUUUUCUUUAUCAAUCGAUCUGCACUGCCAAACAUCUCCUUAGGUCGAAUUGAGCUUUCAAUCCUCUCCAGUUCCGAUCCAAUUCAAAUGGCGAAAAAUGAAGAAUGUUGUUCUACUCAGCUGAUUGAUGGAGAUGGUGCAUUUAAUGCUACUGGAAUAGAACAAUUUAUCAAGGAGGUGAGAUUGGGGGAAUGUGGACUAUCAUAUGCUGUGGUCUCCAUCAUGGGCCCUCAAAGUAGUGGGAAAAGCACUCUAUUAAAUCAUUUGUUUGGUACCAACUUUAGAGAGAUGGAUGCAUUUAAAGGAAGGUCUCAAACCACUAAGGGUAUUUGGUUAGCUAGAUGUGCUGGCAUUGAACCUUGUACUCUUGUAAUGGACUUAGAGGGUACUGAUGGAAGAGAACGAGGAGAGGUGCACCUUUUUCUUUUUAAAUUUCCUUUUCCUUUGCCGAAUAACUUCAUGCAUUUCUCUAGCAUUUUCUGCUUGCUAUCGUCUUUUACAUCCAUCUUAAUGGAUAGAUUAUUUAUUUUAUUUAAUAUUUACAUAUGGUCAUAUUCCGAAAAAAAGGAAUGUGAUAUUACUGCCUUCUUAGUUUCGAAACCUUUCUUCCUCUUCUUGUUAUGUGUAAAACAUUUGGCAUUUUACAAUUAGUAAGGUAAAUGGUGGUGCUUAUGGAAGUUCGGAAUUGAACUUCUCGACAUCUAUCUUAUGUUAAUCCCUAACCAAAUCCUCCAUUGGUGUAAAAACAUAGCCUUUUAAUCAAGUUUGUUUGUUUGUUUUUUUUUU